RNAcentral lists this ribosomal RNA (752 nucleotides) under uncultured bacterium. Its description in RNAcentral is "bacterial SSU rRNA". It matches the Rfam family "Bacterial small subunit ribosomal RNA", at positions 31 to 794 of the family's 1533-position model. The record is from RNAcentral.
GAACGUUGGCGGCGUGGAUUAGGCAUGCAAGUCGAGCGAGAAGUUUACUUCGGUAAAUGGACAGCGGCGAAAGGGACAGUAAUGUGUAGGUACCUACCCUCUGAUCUGGGAUAGCUGCGGGAAACUGCAGGUAAUACCGGAUAAUGUCUUCGGACCAAAGGUGUGAUUCCGUCUGAGGAGGGGCCUGCAUCCUAUUAGCUUGUUGGUGAGGUAAUGGCUCACCAAGGCAACGAUGGGUAGCGGGUGUGAGAGCAUGACCCGCGUCAUUGGGACUGAGACACUGCCCAGACAUCUACGGAUGGCUGCAGUCGAGAAUCUUCGGCAAUGGGCGAAAGCCUGACCGAGCGACGCCGCGUGCGGGAUGAAGGCCCUCGGGUUGUAAACCGCUGUCGUUGGGGAGGAAAUGCAAGAGGGCUAUCCCUUUUGUUUGACCGAUCCAAGGAGGAAGUACGGGCUAAGUUCGUGCCAGCAGCCGCGGUAAGACGAACCGUACGAACGUUAUUCGGAAUUACUGGGCUUAAAGGGUGCGUAGGCUGCACGGAAAGUUGGGUGUGAAAGCCCUCAGCUCAACUGAGGAAUUGCAUCCAAAACUGCCGUGCUUGAGGGAGACAGAGGUGAGCGGAACUCAAGGUGGAGCGGUGAAAUGCGUUGAUAUCUUGAGGAACACCGGUGGCGAAGGCGGCUCACUGGGUCUCUUCUGACGCUGAGGCACGAAAGCUAAGGUAGCAAACGGGAUUAGAUACCCCGGUAGU